AUAUAUAAUACCCAAGACCGCCCAAUAUCCAAUUUGGUCUUGUGUUUGUAAUCAAGAGAAUAUAAAAUUAUUUCAUUGCAAAAAUCAUUUGUAAAUCAAUGCUCAUUUUUGAUAUCUUACAUAUUAAUACACAGAAUUCAUUUUAAAUAAUGGAACAUUAUAUAAAUCUUGAAAACUCUAUACUCCUUUUCUGAUUCAUUCAGAAAACUCUUAUCAAUUUGAUUUGAUUUAAAAUCAUAUAAAAUUUUAUGGAAUUCAUUUUUUCCAGGCAAGCUCCGAAAUGUAUGUAAAGCCUUAAUCACAACAAAGCAAACUCAAAGAAUAAAAUCUAAAGUUUGUUUUUCUUUAAUAAUUUCCUAUGUUACCAAAUGGAUCUGAAGUGAAAGAUAAUCAAUAAAUCAGAACAAAAAACGAACAAAAGCAAGUCGAAAAUAUAUCUGAACCU
This 445-nucleotide unclassified non-coding RNA is filed under the name Hevea brasiliensis (rubber tree). The record is from RNAcentral. Lineage: Eukaryota; Viridiplantae; Streptophyta; Magnoliopsida; Malpighiales; Euphorbiaceae.